UUGGCGGCACACAUACUAAAAUUGGAAUGAUACAGAGAAGAUUAGGAUGGCCUCUGUGCAAGGAUUACAUGCAUAUUUGUGAAGCAUUCCAUGUUUUU
Molecule: small nuclear RNA, 98 nt
Filed under: Neotoma lepida (desert woodrat)
Lineage: Eukaryota; Metazoa; Chordata; Mammalia; Rodentia; Cricetidae
Source: RNAcentral